This 401-nucleotide ribosomal RNA is filed under the name uncultured bacterium. RNAcentral describes it as "bacterial SSU rRNA". It matches the Rfam family "Bacterial small subunit ribosomal RNA", at positions 30 to 430 of the family's 1533-position model. The record is from RNAcentral.
AUUGAACGCUGGCGGCGUGCCUAACACAUGCAAGUCGAGCGGUAACAGGUGUAGCAAUACAUGCUGACGAGCGGCGAACGGGUGAGUAAUGCUUCGGAAUCUGCCCAUGUAGUGGGGAAUAACCAGCCGAAAGGUUGGCUAAUACCGCAUACGACCUACGGGUGAAAGCAGGGGAUCGCAAGACCUUGCGCUAUUGGAUGAGCCGAAGUCGGAUAGCUAGUUGGUAGGGUAACGGCCUACCAAGGCGACGAUCCGUAGCUGGUCUGAGAGGACGACCAGCCACACUGGGACUGAGACACGGCCCAGACUCCUACGGGAGGCAAGCAGUGGGGAAUAUUGGACAAUGGGGCAACCUGAUCCAGCGACGCCGCGUGUGUGAAGAAGGCCUGCGGGUUGUAAAG